UAUAAAUUGUCAUACCAUUCAUCAGGCUUUUUUGCUAAGCCAAAAUCUGCAAUCUUGAGCUGACUUAAAUCUUUUUGAUCAGAAAGGAAAACAAGGAUAUUGGCAAGCUUAAUAUCACAAUGAACAUAUCCAUUAUUAUGUAUGGAUAAUAACCCUUUAAGAAUCAUCUGAGUGUAUCGCCUUACAUCACAUUCAGGUAUUUUUCCUCCACAUUUGUUAAUCAAGUCUGCAAGACUACCAUCAGGAGCAUAUUUCAGUAGGAGAAAGAAUCUAUUAUCAGCGCAGACUUCACAGCAAGCGGUGGGGAAAAAAUAUUGGUCGGUAUGGCCAAGAAGACAGAGCCGUAGGAUCCCUUAACCAAGCACUUCCUGCGAACCCAGUCCAUGGUAAGCGAAUACAGGUUAUAGUAGAUGAUGAGCGAGAAUAGUACCGUAGAAUCCUUUGGUAGGUGGUGUACAUAGAUAGCAUAUAUAAUCCAUUUCCUUGUAGGAUUUAGUAUAUAUAAUCCUUUUCCUUGUAGGAUUUAUUUUUAAUUUCUUUAAGGAAAGAAAGAUAAAUACAUUAAAAGCC
Molecule: long non-coding RNA, 570 nt
Organism: Hevea brasiliensis (rubber tree)
Lineage: Eukaryota; Viridiplantae; Streptophyta; Magnoliopsida; Malpighiales; Euphorbiaceae
Exons: 2
Source: RefSeq, a predicted model, not a curated record